ACAGCAGCCGCUUGCGGUCUGUAUUACAGGUGCUGCGAUGGCUGUCGUCAGCUCGUGCUGUGAAGUGUUGGGUUAAGUCCGCAACGAGCGCAACCCUAUCAUCUGUUGCCAGCAUUUAAGGUGGGGACUCAGAUGAGACUGCCGGUGACAAACCGGAGGAAGGUGGGGACGACGUCAAGUCAUCAUGGCCCUUAUGUCCUGGGCUACACACGUGCUACAAUGGCCGGUACAGAGUGAAGCGAAACCGCGAGGUGAAGCAAAACGCAGAAAGCCGGUCUCAGUACGGAUUGGAGUCUGAAACUCGACUUCAUGAAGUUGGAAUCGCUAGUAAUCGCGCAUCAGCAUGGCGCGGUGAAUACGUUCCCGGGCCUU
This 372-nucleotide ribosomal RNA is filed under the name uncultured Spirochaeta sp. RNAcentral's name for it is "bacterial SSU rRNA". It matches the Rfam family "Bacterial small subunit ribosomal RNA", at positions 1009 to 1382 of the family's 1533-position model. The record is from RNAcentral. Lineage: Bacteria; Pseudomonadati; Spirochaetota; Spirochaetia; Spirochaetales; Spirochaetaceae.